AUGCCUGAAGAAACAGUUCAUGAAGUGAACGUGUCUGUGCCUGACCCUCCAACUCCUCAAGUGGAGGUUGAAAAUCCUGAAGCUGCCACUACCAACGCAAGUGAAGCCGAUGACAUUGUCAUGGCUGACGCUAAUGUGGAGCUUGAACCAACCAGUGUGCCUGAAGCUAAUGAGGCCACUGCACCUAAAGCUAAUGAGGCACCUGCUCCUGAAGCACCUGUUGUGCAGCCUGAAGCCUCAGCUGCUGCCACUGCUCCUGUUCCGCCACCAAGGCCCUAUACAAUCGAGCAAGCAUACAACCAUGGCGAGCUAAUCACAGUAAGAUGGCCCGUUCUGGUCCCUCCGCCUAUUGUCUCUGGUCCUCAAUUUGACUAUCACAUUGAGCAUAGGCCUCAGGUCCAGAAGCCCAAGCCAAGACUGCCAAGGUUUCCUGGUACUGCCACAUCUGUCGGGUCCUUCAAUGCAAAUGGCUUCAAGAGCCACAACACAUUCUUUGACAGCUCAAAGAACCCCUACACGAAGCCAAGAAUAUCAUCAGAUUGGUUCUGGAGUCAUCAGCAGCGAAGCUAUUACUCCUGUGUUCUGUAUGAUCAAGGGCGCAUCUUCCCUCAUAUGCGCCUAGACACUGAAGCCAUUGCUGGACUGCCGUGCUUAGAAGAAGCACUUGAUUGCUUUCGUGAUGCUGGUCUGCUCAACUUUGUGACAGACAAAGAACACUGGAAUGAAGAGCUAUUGCUUCAAUUCUAUGCUACACUCCACAUUUGCGGUUACAACAGAGAUACGAAGACAUGGGUUCUCAAGUGGAUGACCGGAAAUGUUCAUCAUGAAGCCAAAGCUCUUGACAUCAUUGAGCUUACAGGCCUAUCCACUCCCGGAGAGCUCUAUGAACCUGGUUGUCAAAACCACCGCAAUGCACUGGAGUGCAUCUUCCAUAAGCCUGAACCCAAUAUGAGCCAGAUGCUGAGCAUGAUGAAGCCUUUGCCACGUGAUGCUGAAUAUCCAAAGGAGUUCUUUGUUGAUGACCUUGAGUAUCUAUCGCGCACCAUAUAUCACAUCAUCAGGCGGACUCUAUGGCCUAUCAAAGGAGAUUCAUCAGCUGCAAAACUCGAAGGAGCCAUGAAGACAUUGGUCUUUUAA
Molecule: ribosomal RNA, 1137 nt
Filed under: Triticum aestivum (bread wheat)
Lineage: Eukaryota; Viridiplantae; Streptophyta; Magnoliopsida; Poales; Poaceae
Description: partial small subunit ribosomal RNA
Source: RNAcentral